GAUGAAGAACUUAGCGAAAUGCGAUAAGUAAUGUGAAUUGCAGAAUUCAGUGAAUCAUCGAAUCUUUGAACGCACAUUGCGCCCAUUAGUAUUCUAGUGGGCAUGCCUGUUCGAGCGUCAUUAAGUCCACUUAAGCCCUGCUUAGUGUUGGGAGACUGCUCCAGCGGUGCUACCCUGUGGCUACCCUGCAGCUCCUCAAAGACAGCGGCGGAGUUGUGGUAUCCUCUGAGCUUAGUAACUUGUUCUAGCUUUCGAGUACACCACUUCCCCUGCCGUAAAACCCUUAAUUUUUAAUGGUUGACCUCGGAUCAGGUAGGAAUACCCGCUGAACUUAAGCAUAUCAAUAAGCGGAGGA
RNAcentral lists this unclassified non-coding RNA (355 nucleotides) under soil metagenome. RNAcentral describes it as "partial contains 5.8S ribosomal RNA, internal transcribed spacer 2, and large subunit ribosomal RNA". The stretch from base 1 to 120 matches the Rfam family "5.8S ribosomal RNA", at positions 35 to 154 of the family's 154-position model. The record is from RNAcentral.